CUUUACUGGAUAUAAUAAACAAAGAUUUUUUAAAAGAGUUUAAACUAAACUCAGGAAAUGUUAGAAAUUCAUCAUCAUCCUCACAAAAUUAUACCAUUACCGAGGUCAAAAUUGAUGUCCCAGGAGGUGGAGUAAUUGCAGGAAAAUUAUGGAAAUCUGCCGGUCAGAAACUCACUCAAACCAAACCACACCCUCCAAUAAUUUGUGUGCACGGAUGGCUCGAUAAUGCAGGAUCGUUCGAUAACCUCAUCCCCCUCUUAAUGUCACCGGACUCAAAUGCACCCUCUACAUUUUUCGCCCUCGACCUUCCCGGUCAUGGAUUGACCACGUAUUGUCCGCAGGUUUGGUAUGAUGCGCAUAUCGAGGCAUUAAUUGCAAUUAGAAGAGUAUUGUCGCAUUUCGAAUGGGAAGAGGUGUCCUGCAUAGGACAUUCGAUGGGCGGAAUUAUAGGAUACCUUUUUACCUCAUUUUAUCCCAAGUAAGUUGAAAAUAAUAAUUUUAUUUCCGGCGAUUUUCUGAAUUGCAUUAAAAAAUGUGUUUUUCUUUUUCAGUUCCGUCCACAAACUUGUCGCUCUUGAUAACAUCCGUACAAUUCAGCACUAUCCGCUCAUAGCAGUUUUAAAAUCCUCACUUGAUUUAGUGUUUGAAGUCGAAGAGAAAGCUAAACUUCCCCCGAAGGGGUUAAAAUUUGAUGAAUUAGUACAAAAAUUCUAUGAAGGACGAAAACGACAAAAUCCACUCUCUUUGGAAGGAAGUAGAAUUUUGCUUCAAAGGGGCGCAAUACCAGUACAAGGGGAGAAAGACUUAUUUCAAUAUUCGCACAAUCUUCGUACCCUUAUCCCUGGACAUUUUGAAGGGAUUUUGUCUCCUUCAUUAUUAACAAUUUGGUUGGUCUGAUACACAUUUGUGACGGGAAGUCCUCGAAAACUCAUGUAUGUGGGCAAGAGAAGAAUAGUGGGAAAGUUGAAACUGAUGUUUGUGUCCCACAACGAUUUUGUGGCUUAGUAGGAAAACGUUAUCGUAAUAAAUUGUUGUUCAAAAUGCUCGGUGAAAGGUUAAAUUUAGACAGUGUUGGGAAGAAUGAAGUGUUCUACCUCGACCCGGAGAGUGACCUCAUUACAACUCGGACAGCAGAGGCCCUAAAAAGUGACGUAUAUGAAAUACACGACCUGUUUGUGCAAUACUGGACAGACAGCAUGAAACUAAUUAGAGAUUUUACAUUCGGCUACUCGGCUCUAACUAGUACGAAUGAAAUUAAUUUGUAUGUAACGAAAAAUCAACAGAAAAGGAAAACUCUGCAAAAGACGGGUUCGACAGACGGUGGGUGUUCUUAUGAGGAUGCUAUUACGCCGGGAUGCACAGCGCUGAAAGAAAAUGUCAUCCGUCUUAAACUUUUUGCAUCCGACGCAUACACCGGAUUACAGCUGAGGCACCGUGCACGACGAUUGAAAGGGGACGAUAAGGGUCGAUUCGUCCUGAAAAUGGGGAACGGUUCCUAGCUGAAAACGGAACACUCAAGAAGCUAGAUGACAUGUUAAUGGCCGUCAUAAAACUAGCCAGGAAAAGAGUUGUCAGUGUUGACGCCGUGCCAUUGCCAUUGCCAUUGAUUAAGACUAAGGCGAAGGGUUUGCCUGCAUAUGUUGCCAAAUCUAAUAAACCCAGACUGGUUUGUGAUUUCGAAGGGUGUAAAUUCGUGACGAUUCACAUGUCAAGAUUGACCCGCCAUAAUAAUUCGCAUCUUGGUAUCAAACCUUUCACAUGUUGCGGGUGCGGACACAAGUUUUCCGAACGUGAUAGUCUCAAUACACAUGUUAACAAAGGAUGUGUUGAUCGAAGAACAACCAUGAAGAGAACCCCAAUCAAGAUAAUAAGUGCUAGGAGAUUGGCUGUUCGACAGGUCGAAAGUGGGAAGGAGGAAAAUAAACCUGAGAAGGUGUCGGAAAAUGAGACCGUAGUAACUACCAGUCCUCGGGAUGACGCUAAAACAGCACCUGAAGUGAUGUUAAAGCGUCGAGCACUGAUCCCGAUACAAACUCAACCAACAAAGCAAACGAAACUAAAUUUUCCCGUCAUCAAGAAAGCAUAAUUUAAGUAAAUUGUUUACAACUCGGAUAUCUAACUGACUAACUAAAAAUACUGGACUGGACUACUAUUUAAAAUAUUUAAAUAGUAUCAAAUAAUUAGUUUGAUUUUUUUUACCGAUGCGUAUUAGCUAUUAUACACUAUGUCUAGUUCAAUCAAAACAUAGGGUUCUGAUGACUAUAUUUUUUUCUCUGUUGUUUUUCGUUUCUAUAUAUCUUACUUCUACAUCAUUCGUUUGUACGUAUGAAGUCCAUUUCAAAAAUUUCUAAUAAAUGUUGUUGCACAGCACAUUA
This is an RNA transcript of Folsomia candida, 2375 nucleotides long. RefSeq lists it as uncharacterized. The record is from RefSeq and is a predicted model, not a curated record. The transcript has 8 exons. NCBI's taxonomy places the organism in Eukaryota, Metazoa, Arthropoda, Collembola, Entomobryomorpha, Isotomidae.